This 492-nucleotide ribosomal RNA is filed under the name uncultured bacterium. RNAcentral's name for it is "partial 16S ribosomal RNA". It matches the Rfam family "Bacterial small subunit ribosomal RNA", at positions 29 to 507 of the family's 1533-position model. The record is from RNAcentral.
AGUGAACGCUGGCGGUAGGCCUAACACAUGCAAGUCGAACGGCAGCACAGUAAGAGCUUGCUCUUACGGGUGGCGAGUGGCGGACGGGUGAGGAAUACAUCGGAAUCUACUUUUUCGUGGGGGAUAACGUAGGGAAACUUACGCUAAUACCGCAUACGACCUACGGUUGAAAGCAGGGGAUCUUCGGACCUUGCGCGAUUGAAUGCGCCGAUGUCGGAUUAGCUAGUUGGCGGGGUAAAGGCCCACCAAGGCGACGAUCCGUAGCUGGUCUGAGAGGAUGAUCAGCCACACUGGAACUGAGACACGGUCCAGACUCCUAAGGGAGGCAGCAGUGGGGAAUAUUGGACAAUGGGCGCAAGCCUGAUCCAGCCAUACCGCGUGGGUGAAGAAGGCCUUCGGGUUGUAAAGACCUUUUGUUGGGAAAGAAAAGCAGCAGGUUAAUACCCCGCUGUUCUGACGGUACCCAAAGAAUAAGCACCGGCUAACUUCGUG